AGAUGUGAGAGCAAUUUGGCCGAGACAUCUGUUGCCCCUUUGUUCAUCAGCGAUGAAGCUACUGAUCUGAUUGGGGAGGCAGACGCCCCCUUCCUCACUGUUCCCUGUGUACCCCUCCCCCCGAGGCUGCACAUGUGGAAACCCUGGCAGCUAAACAGGAAGAGAAGGCAUGGUCUUGGGUGAGUUUGUCUUAGGAAAGAGUAGAGAGAAAGGGGAGAGGGGGCCCUGGGACCAAGUUU
This 239-nucleotide small RNA is filed under the name Tursiops truncatus (common bottlenose dolphin). RNAcentral's name for it is "7SK RNA (ENSTTRG00000024506.1)". The stretch from base 1 to 184 matches the Rfam family "7SK RNA". Rfam says of the family: 7SK was discovered as an abundant small nuclear RNA in the mid-70s but a possible function has only recently been suggested. Two independent studies have found that 7SK RNA binds the CDK9/cyclin T complex (known as elongation factor P-TEFb). P-TEFb activates transcription by phosphorylating the C-terminal domain of RNA polymerase II. Lineage: Eukaryota; Metazoa; Chordata; Mammalia; Artiodactyla; Delphinidae. The record is from RNAcentral.